Molecule: non-coding RNA, 85 nt
Organism: Synergistes sp. 3_1_syn1
Lineage: Bacteria; Thermotogati; Synergistota; Synergistia; Synergistales; Synergistaceae
Source: Rfam
AAAAGUAAAAGGCAAACCCGUCGAAAGACGGAGCGCGCAAAGCUAUAGGGUCUUACCCCGUCAGGGAUGACAGCCAGUUACCUUC